AGCGAACGCUGGCGGCAGGCCUAACACAUGCAAGUCGAACGAACCUUUCGGGGUUAGUGGCGGACGGGUGAGUAACACGUGGGAACGUGCCUUUAGGUUCGGAAUAACUCAGGGAAACUUGUGCUAAUACCGAAUGUGCCCUUCGGGGGAAAGAUUUAUCGCCUUUAGAGCGGCCCGCGUCUGAUUAGCUAGUUGGUUGAGGUAAUGGCUCACCAAGGCGACGAUCAGUAGCUGGUCUGAGAGGAUGAUUAGCCACAUUGGGACGGAGACACGGCCCAAACUCCUACGGGAGGCAGCAGUGGGGAAUCUUGCGCAAUGGGCGAAAGCCUGACGCAGCCAUGCCGCGUGAAUGAUGAAGGUCUUAGGAUUGUAAAAUUCUUUCACCGGGGACGAUAAUGACGGUACCCGGAGAAGAAGCCCCGGCUAACUUCGUG
RNAcentral lists this ribosomal RNA (434 nucleotides) under uncultured bacterium. RNAcentral's name for it is "partial 16S ribosomal RNA". It matches the Rfam family "Bacterial small subunit ribosomal RNA", at positions 29 to 507 of the family's 1533-position model. The record is from RNAcentral.